CAUGCUGUUGGAGGAUGAUGCCUGAGAGUGAUCCAUCGGCAGAGUGCCUGACACAGUGGUGAAACUCAAGCGACUGACAAAGCACA
Molecule: small nucleolar RNA, 86 nt
Organism: Sceloporus undulatus (fence lizard)
Lineage: Eukaryota; Metazoa; Chordata; Lepidosauria; Squamata; Phrynosomatidae
Product: small nucleolar RNA SNORD71
Exons: 1
Source: RefSeq, a predicted model, not a curated record